AGAGAGUUUAGAUUUAUGAUACAUACCAUGUUAGUGUUGUAAUAUUAUGUGCCGUUAAGAGUUGGACUCUUUAGCUGGGCACAUCUGGUCCUUGCAUAAACAUAUUUGUUUGUUCCUGACCAGUAUAGGCUAGGAUUGAUGAGAAUAAUUUUUCCCUAUGACGACAUUUUGAGUAUGAGUAUGGCUUUUGAGUUUUGCUUCCCAUGCAUAUUGAAGUUUAUGAUAGUUGUCAAAGGCAUCCUUUGGUGCACCUUGGUUCUAGGCCCACACAAGCCCUAUUUCACAUGCCUGGGCUGGUUCAAACCAGUCUCCAUCCUUGAGGCACUUACCUUUUAGGUGCAACUUGGCAUGUGUGUUAGUGGCUUGAUUUUUUUUCCCUUGAAUGGUACCCUAUAUUAGUUGAUUUUGCUUGUAUUGUCUAAGUUGGCUGCCUUCCAAUGGUAUUGAUUAGAGUCCAAACAAAAACAAGUAAUUUCUUUGCUCGGUGCUCAUCUAGAUGAGGAAGGAACUAGUUUAAAGAUGGAUGAAUAGAAAGAAGACAUGAUGAUCUUUGACAUGAUGAUGAUAAAACAUCAUUAUUUUUUUUUUCUAGGAAUGGUUCAUGUAGUAUAUUUAAGGUUGCUGUUAUGAUCUUUGUGCGAGUAUGUUUUUGUGGUUGCUAUUAUGAUUUGUGCCAGAGAAAUCUUAGUAGUUGGUAAUUUUCUUCUUUGUUGUAUUGAUUUAGCUUGAAGGCUGCCUGUUUGGGAUCAUUUCUUUGAACUUAAGUGUGCACAUUACUUAUAGUGAGCUGUUUUAGUUGUUGAACUUCUUUUUAGUAUUCAUGUUUUGUUAAGAAUUUUUUGUAAUGCCUUUUUAAGCAAAUUAUUAGUGGUUAUAAAGUAGUAUUGUUGAUCCCUCAUGCCUAGCCUCUUAGUACUCUGAACACCAUUGGCAACUAUGAGGUUUACAAAACACUGUACUUUUUAAAAGAUGAUGGAUUUAUCAAGAGUUUUUUUGAAAUUUUAGGAAGAGUGAAAUGUUCCAUUAAAGAGAGAGAUUCAGGCUUAGUUUUCUUUGUUUUGUAAAGCUUUUUCUUGUUCAACUUUAUGCGUACGGUUCUGUAUUCUUUAUUUGGAACCAUCACACUAGUUUUUUGAUGAAUAUUCUUUGCAUUCUUGAUGCCACAAGGAGUUGAUGUUUUCAGACGUGUUCUUCUGAGGUUCACUUGGGAUCUUAGAUUGUUCUUGGU
Molecule: unclassified non-coding RNA, 1228 nt
Filed under: Hevea brasiliensis (rubber tree)
Lineage: Eukaryota; Viridiplantae; Streptophyta; Magnoliopsida; Malpighiales; Euphorbiaceae
Source: RNAcentral